RNAcentral lists this ribosomal RNA (497 nucleotides) under uncultured bacterium. Its description in RNAcentral is "partial 16S ribosomal RNA". It matches the Rfam family "Bacterial small subunit ribosomal RNA", at positions 28 to 507 of the family's 1533-position model. The record is from RNAcentral.
GACGAACGCUGGCGGCGUGCCUAAUACAUGCAAGUAGAACGCUGAAGAGAGGAGCUUCCUCUUCUUGGAUGAGUUGCGAACGGGUGAGUAACGCGUAGGUAACCUGCCUUGUAGCGGGGGGUAACUAUUGGAAACGAUAGCUAAUACCGCAUAACAAUGGAUGACACAUGUCAUUUCUUUGCAAGGGGCAAUUGCUCCACUACAAGAUGAACCUGCGGUGUAUUUGCUAGUAGGUGAGGUAAUGGCUCACCUAGGCGACGAUACAUAGCCGAACUGAGAGGGGGAGCUGACACACAGUGAAUGUGACACGGCGCAGACUCCUACGGGAGGGAGCAGUAGGGAAUCUUCGGCAAUGGGGGCAAACCUGAGCGCGCAACGCCGCGUGAGUGAAGAAGGUUUUCGGGUCGUAAAGCUCUGUUGUAAGUCAAGAAAGGGGGUGAGAGUGGAAAGUUCACAGUGUGACGGUAGCUUACCAGAAAGGGACGGCUAACUACGUG